AAUUUUGAAGGCUGCUCAUGUUCCCAAUUUCAGGGGGGAUAGCACCAUGAAUGUAAUUGGAGGACAGGUCAAGUACCCUUAGUUUUGUAAGAUUUCCAAGUUGAGGAGGGAUUUUGUCAGAAAUCCGAUGGCCUCUGAGAUCAAGAAGAGUAAGGUUUGGGAAGCAAGAAAAGUUCAAUUUACGAAACUUAUUUCCUAUGUUCAAGUGUGAGGGUGGAUAAAUUUCAGUGACACUUCCAGCACUAUUGCAGAUAAUACCAGGCCAAUUGCAAUAACUUCUAGAAUUUAUGAUAACAUCACAAUAUAUAUUAGGCCACUUACGAUGUAAAGAGGAGAUAUUGGAGCAGGAUUUCCACCACCCACUAUCUAAUAGAGCCUUGCCUUCCAGUUGUAGAGAUGAGGGUUGGGACGUCACAUUUGCAAGGCUUGUGGAGGCAUUGCUAGCCGUAUAGAAGAAAAUGAUGGUAGCCAAUAUUGUUAAGUUGAUGGAAGAGGCAAUAUUGUAGAAA
Molecule: unclassified non-coding RNA, 509 nt
Filed under: Hevea brasiliensis (rubber tree)
Lineage: Eukaryota; Viridiplantae; Streptophyta; Magnoliopsida; Malpighiales; Euphorbiaceae
Source: RNAcentral